GGGUUGUGAGGUUAAGCGACUAAGCGUACACGGUGGAUGCACGGGCACUCAGAGGCGAUGAAGGGCGUGCUAAUCUGGGAUCAG
RNAcentral lists this ribosomal RNA (84 nucleotides) under Salmonella enterica subsp. enterica serovar Enteritidis. RNAcentral describes it as "partial 23S ribosomal RNA". Lineage: Bacteria; Pseudomonadati; Pseudomonadota; Gammaproteobacteria; Enterobacterales; Enterobacteriaceae. The record is from RNAcentral.